AUCAACUCUAGUACUAACUAUAGGUUCAAAUGUACUACUGUUUUAUUAGGUUUCUAUUUUUAGAGUGCUGUUGACAAUGUUUUUGAAUGCUGUAUACCCCCCACAUAUCCUGAGUUUUCUUGUAUGAUAUUGCAAAGUUGUGUGAUUUAAAAAAAAAAUGCAUAUGCCACAUUAUAGCAGACUGACUAAUUUGCCAGGGAGGAUUGAAUUGUUUGUAUAUUUAUUAGGUUAAAUGCAACUUAAAUUCAGUAAAACACCAUUACAAAGAUUUCGGCUAUAUCCCUACUUCUGUUUUGGUUCUAUCCAUUUCAUUUUCCUUGCAACAAAAUAGUGACUCAGAGUGAAAUGGAAAUCUUUGUAAUGGCUAUUAUAGUAUAUUUCUCUAUAAUUAAUUUUUUAUUUUGAUUAUGUAAAAUUACACAGAAAAUAAAGGCUACCCCUGAUCGAACAAAGAAAAUGACUAAAAAAAUGGAAAAGAAAAAAGACAAAGGAAAAUCUGAGGAAUUGAAAGAGAAGACGUCUACAGGAAAAAACCUUAAAAUAAAAGACGAUUUGCUUCAAGUCCAGAAAGAAGCAUUUGCUCUGGAACUUGAGAACAAAUUACUUCAAGAACAACUGAAACAGGCUUUACAGGUAAAGGAUAUCAUAUUCUUUAAAAAUUGUUAGCAAAUGAUAGAAAUAUAUAAA
Molecule: long non-coding RNA, 687 nt
Filed under: Dasypus novemcinctus (nine-banded armadillo)
Lineage: Eukaryota; Metazoa; Chordata; Mammalia; Cingulata; Dasypodidae
Description: lncRNA (ENSDNOG00000050524.1)
Source: RNAcentral